This 376-nucleotide ribosomal RNA is filed under the name uncultured organism. RNAcentral's name for it is "partial 16S ribosomal RNA". It matches the Rfam family "Bacterial small subunit ribosomal RNA", at positions 527 to 896 of the family's 1533-position model. The record is from RNAcentral.
GUAGGUGGCAAGCGUUGUCCGGAAUUAUUGGGCGUAAAGCGCGCGCAGGCGGUUCUUUAAGUCUGAUGUGAAAGCCCACGGCUCAACCGUGGAGGGUCAUUGGAAACUGGAGAACUUGAGUACAGAAGAGGAAAGCGGAAUUCCACGUGUAGCGGUGAAAUGCGUAGAGAUGUGGAGGAACACCAGUGGCGAAGGCGGCUUUCUGGUCUGUAACUGACGCUGAGGCGCGAAAGCGUGGGGAGCAAACAGGGAUUAGAUACCCUGGUAGUCCACGCCGUAAACGAUGAGUGCUAAGUGUUAGGGGGGUUUCCGCCCCCGUUAGUGCUGCAGCUAACGCAUUAAGCACUCCGCCCUGGGGAGUACGGCCGCAAGGCUG